GCCAGGUGUGGUGGUGGGCGCCUGUAAUCCCAGCUACUCGGGAGGCUGAGGCAGGAGAAUCGCUUGAACCCAGGAGGUAGAGGUUGCAGUGAGCCAAGAUCAUGCCACUGCACUCCAGCCUGGGUGACAGAGCGAGACCCUGCCUUUA
Molecule: unclassified non-coding RNA, 148 nt
Organism: Papio anubis (olive baboon)
Lineage: Eukaryota; Metazoa; Chordata; Mammalia; Primates; Cercopithecidae
Rfam family: Metazoan signal recognition particle RNA
About the family: The signal recognition particle (SRP) is a universally conserved ribonucleoprotein. It is involved in the co-translational targeting of proteins to membranes.
Source: Ensembl